GACGAACGCUGGCGGCGUGCUUAACACAUGCAAGUCGAACGGAAAGACCCUGCUUUUGUGGGGUGCUCGAGUGGCGAACGGGUGAGUAACACGUGAGUAACCUGCCCUUGACUUUGGGAUAACUUCAGGAAACUGGGGCUAAUACCGGAUAGGAGCUCCUGCUGCAUGGUGGGGGUUGGAAAGUUUCGGCGGUUGGGGAUGGACUCGCGGCUUAUCAGCUUGUUGGUGGGGUAGUGGCUUACCAAGGCUUUGACGGGUAGCCGGCCUGAGAGGGUGACCGGCCACAUUGGGACUGAGACACGGCCCAAACUCCUACGGGAGGCAGCAGUGGGGAAUAUUGGACAAUGGGCGCAAGCCUGAUCCAGCCAUGCCGCGUGAGUGAUGAAGGCCUUAGGGUUGUAAAGCUCUUUUGUCCGGGAAGAUAAUGACUGUACCGGAAGAAUAAGCCCCGGCUAACUUCGUG
RNAcentral lists this ribosomal RNA (463 nucleotides) under uncultured bacterium. Its description in RNAcentral is "partial 16S ribosomal RNA". It matches the Rfam family "Bacterial small subunit ribosomal RNA", at positions 28 to 507 of the family's 1533-position model. The record is from RNAcentral.